Molecule: ribosomal RNA, 253 nt
Filed under: uncultured bacterium
Lineage: Bacteria
Description: partial 16S ribosomal RNA
Rfam family: Bacterial small subunit ribosomal RNA
Source: RNAcentral
UACGUAGGGGGCUAGCGUUGUCCGGAAUCAUUGGGCGUAAAGCGCGUGUAGGCGGCCCGGUAAGUCCGCUGUGAAAGUCGGGGGCUCAACCCUCGGAAGCCGGUGGAUACUGUCGGGCUCGAAUCCGGAAGAGGUGAGUGGAAUUCCUGGUGUAGCGGUGAAAUGCGCAGAUAUCAGGAGGAACACCAAUGGCGAAGGCAGCUCACUGGGACGGUAUUGACGCUGAGACGCGAAAGCGUGGGGAGCAAACAGG